RNAcentral lists this ribosomal RNA (815 nucleotides) under uncultured Ascomycota. RNAcentral describes it as "LSU rRNA". It matches the Rfam family "Eukaryotic large subunit ribosomal RNA", at positions 399 to 1236 of the family's 3401-position model. The record is from RNAcentral. Lineage: Eukaryota; Fungi; Ascomycota.
GUGAAAUUGUUGAAAGGGAAGCGCUUGCAACCAGACCUGCCUGCAGUUGCUCAUCCGGGCUUUUGCCCGGUGCACUCUUCUGCUGUCAGGCCAGCAUCGGUUCAGGCGGUCGGAUAAAGGCUUCGGGAAUGUAGCUCCUCUCGAGGAGUGUUAUAGCCCGUUGCGAAAUGCGGCCAGCCUGAACUGAGGUCCGCGCUUCGGCUAGGAUGCUGGCGUAAUGGUUGUAAGCGGCCCGUCUUGAAACACGGACCAAGGAGUCUAACAUCUGUGCGAGUGUUUGGGUGUCAAACCCGUGCGCGUAAUGAAAGUGAACGGAGGCGGGAACCCCUCGGGGUGCACCGUCGACCGAUCCUGAUGUCUUCGGAUGGAUUUGAGUAAGAGCAUAGCUGUUGGGACCCGAAAGAUGGUGAACUAUGCCUGAAUAGGGUGAAGCCAGAGGAAACUCUGGUGGAGGCUCGCAGCGGUUCUGACGUGCAAAUCGAUCGUCAAAUUUGGGCAUAGGGGCGAAAGACUAAUCGAACUAUCUAGUAGCUGGUUCCUGCCGAAGUUUCCCUCAGGAUAGCAGUAACGUUUUCAGUUUUAUGAGGUAAAGCGAAUGAUUAGAGGCCUGGGGGUUGAAACAACCUUCACCUAUUCUCAAACUUUAAAUAUGUAAGAAGUCCUUGUUACUUAGUUGAACGUGGACAUUUGAAUGUAUCGUUACUAGUGGGCCAUUUUUGGUAAGCAGAACUGGCGAUGCGGGAUGAACCGAACGCGGAGUUAAGGUGCCGGAAUGCACGCUCAUCAGACACCACAAAAGGUGUUAGUUCAUCUAG